Long non-coding RNA from Ictalurus punctatus (channel catfish), 2827 nucleotides. The record is from Ensembl. NCBI's taxonomy places the organism in Eukaryota, Metazoa, Chordata, Actinopteri, Siluriformes, Ictaluridae.
CCCCUUCCAACUGUCCUCGGAGUCGUAGACGAUCUUCUCGCUGCUGACAUCCACGAGUUUGUCUCUGACCUCGUUAAGCCUUUGCACGAUGUACACCUCGUCCCGCAGCUCAUGUAGAAUGGCAUCCACCGAUCCAUGAAUUCUCUGGGGGUUAACCCACAAACCACACCAACUUAAUGCUUGAGCAAUGAAAUGUUUAAGUUCCACAAAGAAUUUGUCAAAGAAAUACGCAUCAGGUUCAGACAGGAGUGUCUAAUCUGUGUCACAGUUCGGUCUGAUCAGAACUCAAAUUCCCAAGAUGCAAUACUCACUUCUCAGGCACGCAUGCGCUCACCAUCCCCGGAGUUCUGAUCAGACACACCUGGCACCAAUCACACACACACACACUAGUACUUAGGGAAGACAUCCACCCAGAAUCUACGCGAAGUAUACGCUCAGUAGCUUAGUUCUCUGCGUUACCAAGCCGUUCUAGUUCGUUUGUUCCUCGUGAUCCUUGACCCUUGUUUUCAGUCUCGACUAUGCUUUCCGGAUAUCCCCGUGUGUAUUGUUCGUCCGAUCUCUUGACCCUUGCCUACUCUACGACUACGCUUCUUGAACUUCCCGAUCCUACGCUCUUCACCCGCCUCCCGCUCCUGCUUCCUUACCGUUUCGAGGUUUGUGACAGAAUACUUCGCCGACUAAUGGAAGCAGCGGGAGAUCGCUGGCCGCACGCCAUCGAGGGACAUGGCCGUAUGAUUAGUGAACAUGAUCGCCGCCUCGCCCACCUAACUGAGCAGGUAGCUCGGUUAAAUCAAGCUGCGCCGUCUUCUACGGCGCCGACCCCACGCUUACCUCCCACUCCAGCGCCGGAGAAGUAUGAUGGAGAUCCCGCACGCUGUCAAGGUUUUCUACUCCAGUGCUCCCUGUUUUUUUCCACGUACCCAGACAUGACGGAGAAUCAGAAGAUAAUCCACUUCAUGGAACUUUUAACCGGGAAAGUUCUCCUCUGGGCUACCGCGGAAUGGGAACAGGAGGGGAACCGUAUCAGCACGUUUGAGCAGCUAACCUCACACUUCCGCACUGUAUUUGAUCACUCUCCAGACAGCCGGGAGACUGGGGAGGACUUAUUGUCCUUGGUGCAGGGAUCACGUAGUGCGGCGGAUUAUGCCCGCGAACAUCUGAGAGCCCUAGUGAACCCAUGCAGCUGGGACAGACUCGGGUGAGCAUGCAGGAAAGAGAACGAAGGCGCCGUGAACACUGUUGUUUCUAUUGCGGUGAGAAGGGCCACUUCGUGCAACAAUGCCCUCUCAAACAGGGCUCUACCCGAGGGGAAACCAAAACUGCCAGACCACCUCAGGCAGGGGUAAGUUUCGAACCCAUUACCCAGCACUCUGUUCGGUCUGCCUUCGUAUUGCCCGUUAUAUUGGGUUACUCAAGUGUUUCCUGUAUUUUAGAAGCGCUGAUCGACUCGGGAGCGGCGGGGAACUUCAUUAACCAGGAGACCAUACUCCAAUAUAACAUCCCCGUUCGUCCUCUCUGCACCCCCCGCCGUGUCCAAGCCAUUGAUGGGGCCCCCAUAGGAGAUGGCUUAAUCACCCACUGUACCAAACCCAUUAACCGCCGCACCAGCGCCCUUCAUCAGGAGAAGAUCACGUUCCAUGUCAUUGUGACUGCCCGGCACCCAGUGGUUCUCGGUCUCCCUUGGCUCGAACAUCACAAUCCACAAAUUUCGUGGAAUCAGAGGGAAAUCACUCGCUGGUGUUGUGGAUAAAAAAUGUCAUAAAAUAAACAUAAGGGAGACCUAGCAUCCAGCAAAGGGGAGAAGAAGAAGAGACGGGCACCUAGACACAUAGAAGCGGGAUUAGGCGGACAUUGACAAAUUGGAAUUACACUUUAAAGAUCUUUAAGAGCAGUAAUAGUCAAAAAAGUCAAAAAGAGGUAUACGAGCUGAGCUGAGGAGGGCUAAUACACACACACACACACGCUCGUACAGUCAAGGGCGGGAAAGUAGACACAACAUACACACACACUCUCUCUUUCUCAUACACACACAUGAAUAACUUUAAUAAUAUCUUAUAGUAAUAGAGAAACUAUAUAAAAAACAGAAUAGUAGGAUAUGCAGGACAGUAGAACUGUAAUGAUAUUAAGAAGUUGGAAGUACAGUAAACCGCUUUUCAAGUAGUAUAAAUAUAUAUAAAAUAAGAAAUAUAGUGCAAAUAUGAAAAUAAAUUAUAAACUAGAAAUACAGGAAAAAUAUAACUUACUCAUGAUUCAGAUGGUGAAGAUUCUCGUCUCGCAAGGAAGGCCUUAAUUUUAAGAGAACCAUGAAGAGAGCCAGUUAUAAGGGUGGGUCAAACUGCCCCCCCUCGAGAUAACGAUAAGACCAAGGUCCCUCCCGGUUGUUUAGUCUUGUCUACGUCAUCUUAUUUCCCUAGGUAAAUGAGAAUUCUGGUUUCUGACCCCCUAAGGUAACUGAGAAGUCUGGUUUCUGACGCCCUAGGUAACUGAAAAAUUCUGGUUUCUGAUCCUCUGAGUAACUAGAAAAUCUGGGUUUUUAUUUUCUGGGUUAUUGGAAAUGCCUGGGUUCUGAUUUUAUGUGUAAAUUAAAACCCCUGGUUUCAAUUCUAUGUGUAAGUGAAAUCGCCCUUUUCUGGAACAUAAGAGUAAGGUAAAUGAGCUCUUUUUUAACCCUAUUGGUAGUGAGAUCAUAGUCUUUUUGAAACAUAUGGGUUAUUUAGUGUGUAAAUACAGUAUAAAUACUGGAGCUUAAGCUCAGGGUAUUGGGAUCACUUUUGAGAAUUCUCAUCGGUGUGGAUCUCGUGUGGUGGAAUGGAACAAUAAAGCUGGA